GACAGAGGGUGCAAACGUUGUUCGGAUUUACUGGGCGUAAAGCGUGUGUAGGCGGCUUGGCAAGUUGGAUGUGAAAGCCCACGGCUCAACCGUGGAAGCGCAUCCAAAACUGCUUCGCUCGAGUCUCGGAGAGGAAGGUGGAAUGCUUGGUGUAGAGGUGAAAUUCGUAGAUAUUGGGAAGAACACCCGUGGCGAAGGCGGCUCUCUGGGACGGUACUGACGCUGAGACGCGAAAGCGUGGGGAGCGAACAGG
RNAcentral lists this ribosomal RNA (253 nucleotides) under uncultured bacterium. Its description in RNAcentral is "partial 16S ribosomal RNA". It matches the Rfam family "Bacterial small subunit ribosomal RNA", at positions 524 to 776 of the family's 1533-position model. The record is from RNAcentral.